UAGAUAGGUAGGGAGCUUCCUUUAGUCCAUUCACAGAUCAUGAUAUGAUCCAAUUAGCUUCCGACUCAUCCAUCCAAAUACCGAGUCACGAAAAUUUCAACUUAGACUCGUUAAAUGAAUGAAUGAUGCGGUAGACAAAUUGGAUCAUUGAUUCUCUCUGAUUGGACUGAAGGGAGCUCCCUCCUUUCAUUGU
Non-coding RNA from Brassica napus (rape), 193 nucleotides. NCBI's taxonomy places the organism in Eukaryota, Viridiplantae, Streptophyta, Magnoliopsida, Brassicales, Brassicaceae. The record is from Rfam.